Molecule: ribosomal RNA, 231 nt
Filed under: Detonula confervacea
Lineage: Eukaryota; Bacillariophyta; Thalassiosirophyceae; Thalassiosirales; Thalassiosiraceae
Description: partial Bacterial large subunit ribosomal RNA
Rfam family: Bacterial large subunit ribosomal RNA
Source: RNAcentral
AGGCAGACAGACUAUGAGUGCUAAGAUUCAUAGUCAAAAGGGAAACAGCCCAAAUUAUUUGUUAAGGCCCUCAAAAGUAAUUAAGUGAAAAAGAAAGUAAGAAAAUGUUAACAGCUUAUAGGUAGGCUUGGAAGCAGCCAUCCUUUCAAGAAAGCGUAACAACUCAUUGGUUUAGCUUUUUAGCGUCGAAAAUGUACAGGGGCUAAAAUUACUUGCCGAAACAAUAAAUUU